This 1320-nucleotide long non-coding RNA is filed under the name Mytilus galloprovincialis (Mediterranean mussel). Lineage: Eukaryota; Metazoa; Mollusca; Bivalvia; Mytilida; Mytilidae. The record is from RNAcentral.
GUAAUAUAUGAGGAAAAAGUAAUGAGAAGCUAGCGCUGAGCAUAAAGUUUUAUAACAUGUACAGCAUUAUUAGUUAUCCGACAUUAAGAGUUAUCUAGAAUCUGACAAAGUAAAAAUUUUAACAUCAAAACAGAUUAGAUUUAUUAUUGAUAGCCCAAUAUAGAAAAAAAAAUGCUUAUCAAUAAAAUCGUUUUGGAGGAUUUUAAUUUUUUUUAACUUUUAUUUGUAGUGAGAGAAAAAUAGGUUUUCCCCAACCUCCCAAAAAGCAAAAACAAUGUGUCAUCCGUCUUCGAGCAUUCGUCUUCCAGAUCUAUAUAUAAAAUAUAUUUUUUUUGUUUUUUUUUUAAAUUGGAAUGAAUAAUGGAUCUCUCAAAUAUGAAACUUAGGACGUAGGAAUCAUUCCGGCUAAAGAGACGUUUGUAUUCUGCUUAAAAUAAUCCAUAUAAAUUUUCAAAUUAUUAAGUACUCUCAGAUCUGUUCAUUGGGUCUUUUUGUGUCGGGAUGUAUAAGUACCCGGCCUUGUCCACAUGUAUUUUUGUACAUCUGAUGAGUUCAGCCUUUUUCAACUGAUUUUUAUAGUUUGUUCUUAUGUUGUACUGUUAUACCACUGUCCGGGCCAGGUUAGGGGGAGUGUUGGGAUCCCGCUAACAUGUUUAACCCCGCCACAUUAUUUAUGUAUGUGCAUGUCCCUAGUCAGGAGCCUGUAAUUCAGUGGUUGUCGUUUGUUUAUGUGUUACAUAUUUGUUUUUCGUUCAUUUUUUUUUUUACAUAAAUAAGGCCGUUAGUUUUCUCGUUUGAAUUGUUUUACAGUCUUAUCGGGGCCUUUUAUAGCUGACUAUGCGGUAUGGGCUUUGCUCAUUGUUGAAAGCCGUCCGGUGACCUAUAGUUGUUAAUGUUUGAGUCAUUUUGGUCUUUUGUGGGUAGUUGUCUCAUUGGCAAUGAUACCAAACAUUCUUUUUUAUAAGGUUUCAACUCCAUUAGACAAAGUUGAUCUUUGUCUGCAUGAUUUUAUUUAUUAGGUUCUAUUUGGUCUGUUAGCUCUUCAACUGUUUCUAUUUUUUGUGCAUGCUCCGUUCCAAAAAUCGAGAAUUAUAGCUCUUUGAUUGUAUGACUAGUUGUAUGUUUUUUUUUCCAGCUGUACAGAGCUUUUUGUUGUCAAUGGUUAUUUUUGUCGGAAAUCUUUCACAAAAUUUCAUUGUUGUAAUUAUUAUUGACACAAUGUAGGAGAAGGAUGUAAGGUUAACUAAGUCUGCAAUAGUAGACGAAAAUACCGAUGCUUAUUAAUGAACAUAAUUUGCAUUGCUAAAAUCAUUUAACCAG